This 66-nucleotide transfer RNA is filed under the name Neoneuromus coomani. RNAcentral describes it as "tRNA-Trp". The record is from RNAcentral. Lineage: Eukaryota; Metazoa; Arthropoda; Insecta; Megaloptera; Corydalidae.
AAGGUUUUAAGUUAACUAAACUAUUAGCCUUCAAAGCUGAAAAUAAAUAUAUUAAUUUAAGCCUUA